AACUCUCGGCAACAGAUAUCUCGGCUCUCGCAUCGAUAAGGAAUGUAGUGAAAUGCGAUACUUGGUGUGAAUUGCAGAAUCCUGUGAGCCAUCGAGUGUUUGAAUGCAAGUCGCUCCCGAAGCCAUUAGGACUUGGGCACGUCUGCCUGGGUGUCA
Molecule: ribosomal RNA, 156 nt
Organism: Capsicum annuum
Lineage: Eukaryota; Viridiplantae; Streptophyta; Magnoliopsida; Solanales; Solanaceae
Product: 5.8S ribosomal RNA
Exons: 1
Source: RefSeq, a predicted model, not a curated record